RNAcentral lists this ribosomal RNA (412 nucleotides) under uncultured bacterium. RNAcentral's name for it is "bacterial SSU rRNA". It matches the Rfam family "Bacterial small subunit ribosomal RNA", at positions 355 to 775 of the family's 1533-position model. The record is from RNAcentral.
UCGAGGAUCUUCGUCAAUGGGCGCAAGCCUGAACGAGCGACGCCGCGUGUGGGAUGAAGGCCUUCGGGUUGUAAACCACUGUCGAGGGGGAGGAAGGCCGCAAGGCUUGACCGACCCCUGGAGGAAGGACGGGCUAAGUUCGUGCCAGCAGCCGCGGUAAGACGAACCGUCCUAACGUUGUUCGGAAUCACUGGGCUUAAAGGGCGCGUAGGCGGCCCUGUAAGUCGGGGGUGAAAGCCCACGGCCCAACCGUGGAAGUGCCUCCGAUACUGCGGGGCUCGAGGGAGGUAGGGGCAGCGGGAACUUCCGGUGGAGCGGUGAAAUGCGUUGAUAUCGGAAGGAACGCCGGUGGCGAAAGCGCGCUGCUGGACCUCUGCUGACGCUGAGGCGCGAAAGCCAGGGGAGCAAACGG